CUCCCGUGCAGCAAACAAACCAAGAACCGCCGCCACCACACCAGGCCGGCCCGCACCGCAGUGGGAAAAGGUCGCGCCUUCGCGCGUGGGCCGCGUGGUCGCCGGAGAUGGGGGCGGAGGGAGGAGGAGCACGUGCAGGGCACGCACGGCGCGGUGGUGGCCGGGGAUGGCCGGGCCGCGGUGGGGCUGGGCAGGGAGGAGGCGGAACGGAGGCGCAGAGAGAGAGAGAGAGAGACAGACAGGGAAGAGGGUAGUGGGGUUGGGUUGCCUUUGGCCCUAUUAUUGUUUUCUUUUAUUUAUUUAUUGUUAUUAUUAUUGUGGCCAAUUUUCACACAAAUUU
Molecule: long non-coding RNA, 340 nt
Filed under: Oryza brachyantha (malo sina)
Lineage: Eukaryota; Viridiplantae; Streptophyta; Magnoliopsida; Poales; Poaceae
Description: long non-coding RNA (OBRA_LNC003067)
Source: RNAcentral